This 343-nucleotide unclassified non-coding RNA is filed under the name soil metagenome. RNAcentral describes it as "partial contains 5.8S ribosomal RNA, internal transcribed spacer 2, and large subunit ribosomal RNA". The stretch from base 1 to 120 matches the Rfam family "5.8S ribosomal RNA", at positions 35 to 154 of the family's 154-position model. The record is from RNAcentral.
GAUGAAGAACGGAGCGAAAUGCGAUAAGUAAUGUGAAUUGCAGAAUUCAGUGAAUCAUCGAAUCUUUGAACGCACAUUGCGCCCGCCAGUAUUCUGGCGGGCAUGCCUGUUCGAGCGUCAUUUCAACCCUCAGGACCCUUUGGACCUGGUGUUGGGGCUCGGCCGCUACCCCGCGGCCGUCCCCGAAAGAUAGUGGCGGUCUCGCUGUAGCGUCCUCUGCGUAGUAAUUACACCUCGCACUGGAACGCGGCGCGGCCACGCCGUUAAACACCCCACUUCUCAAGGUUGACCUCGGAUCAGGCAGGAAUACCCGCUGAACUUAAGCAUAUCAAUAAGCGGAGGA